RNAcentral lists this ribosomal RNA (492 nucleotides) under uncultured bacterium. Its description in RNAcentral is "partial 16S ribosomal RNA". It matches the Rfam family "Bacterial small subunit ribosomal RNA", at positions 29 to 507 of the family's 1533-position model. The record is from RNAcentral.
AGUGAACGCUGGCGGUAGGCCUAACACAUGCAAGUCGAACGGCAGCACAGUAAGAGCUUGCUCUUACGGGUGGCGAGUGGCGGACGGGUGAGGAAUACAUCGGAAUCUACUUUUUCGUGGGGGAUAACGUAGGGAAACUUACGCUAAUACCGCAUACGACCUACGGGUGAAAGCAGGGGAUCUUCGGACCUUGCGCGAUUGAAUGAGCCGAUGUCGGAUUAGCUAGUUGGCGGGGUAAAGGCCCACCAAGGCGACGAUCCGUAGCUGGUCUGAGAGGAUGAUCAGCCACACUGGAACUGAGACACGGUCCAGACUCCUACGGGAGGCAGCAGUGGGGAAUAUUGGACAAUGGGCGCAAGCCUGAUCCAGCCAUGCCGCGUGGGUGAAGAAGGUCUUCGGGUUGUAAAGCCCUUUUGUUGGGAAAGAAAAGCAGCAGGUUAAUACCCCGCUGUUCUGACGGUACCAAAAGAAUAAGCACCGGCUAACUUCGUG